GAUGAACGCUGGCGGCGUGCUUAAUACAUGCAAGUCGAGCGAACAGACAAGAACUUUGUUGCGUUCUCGUUAGCCGCGCACGUGUGAAUAACAUGUGUGAAACGCACUUAAAACACGGGGAUAACUUCGGGAAUGCGGAGCUAACACCGUAUAAUAUUUCUAACCGUAUGGUUCGAUAGUGAAAGAUUGUUUUGCUAUCACUUAUACAUCGACUCGUGCUGUAUUAGCUAGUUGGUAAGGUCAAGGCUUACCAGGGGGACGAUACGGAGCCGACCUGGGAGGGUGAUCGGCCACACUAGAGCUGGGACGCGGUCCAGGGUACUGCGGGAGGCAGCAGUAGGGAAUGUGCGGCAGUAGGCGAAAGCCUGACGGAGCAACGGCACGUGUGUGAUAAAGGUCUUCGGAUCGUGAAGCUCUGUUAUUAGGUAUGAACAUCCGUGUAAGUAACUGUGCACUACUUGACGGUACCUAAUCAGAAAGCCACGGCUAACUACGUG
This 497-nucleotide ribosomal RNA is filed under the name uncultured bacterium. RNAcentral describes it as "partial 16S ribosomal RNA". It matches the Rfam family "Bacterial small subunit ribosomal RNA", at positions 28 to 507 of the family's 1533-position model. The record is from RNAcentral.